This 550-nucleotide ribosomal RNA is filed under the name uncultured bacterium. RNAcentral's name for it is "bacterial SSU rRNA". It matches the Rfam family "Bacterial small subunit ribosomal RNA", at positions 355 to 896 of the family's 1533-position model. The record is from RNAcentral.
UAGGGAAUCUUCGGCAAUGGACGGAAGUCUGACCGAGCAACGCCGCGUGAGUGAAGAAGGUUUUCGGAUCGUAAAGCUCUGUUGUAAGAGAAGAACGAGUGUGAGAGUGGAAAGUUCACACUGUGACGGUAUCUUACCAGAAAGGGACGGCUAACUACGUGCCAGCAGCCGCGGUAAUACGUAGGUCCCGAGCGUUGUCCGGAUUUAUUGGGCGUAAAGCGAGCGCAGGCGGUUAGAUAAGUCUGAAGUUAAAGGCUGUGGCUUAACCAUAGUACGCUUUGGAAACUGUUUAACUUGAGUGCAAGAGGGGAGAGUGGAAUUCCGUGUGUAGCGGUGAAAUGUGUAGAUAUAUGGAGGAACACCGGUGGCGAAAGCGGCUCUCUGGCUUGUAACUGACGCUGAGGCUCGAAAGCGUGGGGAGCAAACAGGAUUAGAUACCCUGGUAGUCCACGCCGUAAACGAUGAGUGCUAGGUGUUAGACCCUUUCCGGGGUUUAGUGCCGUAGCUAACGCAUUAAGCACUCCGCCUGGGGAGUACGACCGCAAGGUUG